This 440-nucleotide ribosomal RNA is filed under the name uncultured bacterium. RNAcentral describes it as "partial 16S ribosomal RNA". It matches the Rfam family "Bacterial small subunit ribosomal RNA", at positions 338 to 795 of the family's 1533-position model. The record is from RNAcentral.
UCUACGGGAGGCAGCAGUGGGGAAUAUUGCACAAUGGGGGAAACCCUGAUGCAGCGACGCCGCGUGAGUGAAGAAGUAUUUCGGUACGUAAAGCUCUAUCAGCAGGGAAGAAAAUGACGGUACCUGACUAAGAAGCCCCGGCUAACUACGUGCCAGCAGCCGCGGUACUACGUAGGGGGCAAGCGUUAUCCGGAUUUACUGGGUGUAAAGGGAGGGUAGACGGCAGCGCAAGUCUGGAGUGAAAUCCCUUGGCUUAACCAUGGAACUGCUUUGGAAACUGUGCAGCUAGAGUGCAGGAGAGGUAAGCGGAAUUCCUAGUGUAGCGGUGAAAUGCGUAGAUAUUAGGAGGAACACCAGUGGCGAAGGCGGCUUACUGGACUGUAACUGACGUUGAGGCUCGAAAGCGUGGGGAGCAAACAGGAUUAGAUACCCUUGUAGUC